CCCUAACAUUUAAGAAUUUCUCACCAUUUUCAAAUAUUUCACUUACUUGUAGUCCUAGCAAUAAAUUGCAUAAAAUCAUCGGUAUCUAAUACCUAGGUAGUGGAAUUACAUAGAGAAACUUUAAGGUGUUAUCAUAUAACAUCCUUGAUGAGCAACCCUUGCUCCUUUCUCUUGUUUAUCCUAUUAUGGUCAAGGAAAGCAAGACAAUUCUUCUUCCUAUGAUCCUGUGCUUAUGCCUGAU
RNAcentral lists this long non-coding RNA (241 nucleotides) under Elaeis guineensis (African oil palm). Its description in RNAcentral is "long non-coding RNA (EGUI_LNC072046)". Lineage: Eukaryota; Viridiplantae; Streptophyta; Magnoliopsida; Arecales; Arecaceae. The record is from RNAcentral.